Molecule: unclassified non-coding RNA, 283 nt
Filed under: fungal sp.
Lineage: Eukaryota; Fungi
Description: partial internal transcribed spacer region
Rfam family: Eukaryotic small subunit ribosomal RNA (bases 1-46)
Source: RNAcentral
AAGUCGUAACAAGGUUUCCGUAGGUGAACCUGCGGAAGGAUCAUUAAUGAAUGAACAUGGAGAUUGGUUGUCGCUGGCGCCUUCACUGGAGCAUGUGCACGCCUCUCUCUAUUCAUCCACACACACCUGUGAACUUGUGAGACGGAUAGUAGUCCCCUCUGAUUUAAUUCGGGGGGGUCGAGGUCCGUCUUGUCAAUACAUAAACUCCAAUUUAAUAAAUCCGAAUGUAAUCUGAUGUAACACAUCUUUAAACUAAGUUUCAACAACGGAUCUCUUGGCUCUC